Molecule: ribosomal RNA, 681 nt
Filed under: Parasitylenchus sp. O917
Lineage: Eukaryota; Metazoa; Nematoda; Chromadorea; Rhabditida; Parasitylenchidae
Description: partial 28S ribosomal RNA
Rfam family: Eukaryotic large subunit ribosomal RNA (bases 304-681)
Source: RNAcentral
GCAGGGUGGAAACGAAUAGAGUUGACGUAUCCUAAUCCGCAUUUCGUCGGUGUUCGUGGUCGCCGUGAUUGGCGCGCCGUCGUGGCCUCCCGGGGUCGCGGCGGUGCGUCGGUCGUCGGUGGGCUGUGAGCGCCGGUGUACUUGUGGGUUGUUGUGCGCUGGGAGGUGUGCGCUGGUCGUUGGGGGCUUUGGCACGAGGACGCUCGCUUCGGCGAGUGAAACCGGGCCCUGGUCUUCGGCGGUUCGGCGUGCGCGAAGGCGUCGGCUUGGAGCGCGCGGCGUUCCGUCGAUGCUGUGCUGUAUGGCGGUCGCAUGCGACACGUGUACGGUGCGGCGUCGCGGGGCGUCGUGUUCCCGGGUCGGUGUCCCCGGUGUAAAAGUCGAUCAUCUAUUCGACCCGUCUUGAAACACGGACCAAGGAGUUUAACGUCUGCGCGAGUCAUUGGGCGUGGAAAACCCAAAGGCGUAAUGAAAGUGAAUGUGUCCUUGACGGCACUGAUAUGCGAUCCGCGGAGCUGCGGCUUCGCCGGAGCAGCAUAGCCCCGUUCUUGUCGCUUGCGAUGGGGCGGAGGUAGAGCGUAUGCGUUGAGACCCGAAAGAUGGUGAACUAUGCUUGAGCAGGACGAAGUCAGAGGAAACUCUGAUGGAAGUCCGAAUCGGUUCUGACGUGCAAAUCGAUCG